This 223-nucleotide unclassified non-coding RNA is filed under the name plant metagenome. RNAcentral's name for it is "partial contains small subunit ribosomal RNA, internal transcribed spacer 1, and 5.8S ribosomal RNA". The record is from RNAcentral.
UUUCCGUAGGUGAACCUGCGGAAGGAUCAUUAAAGAGAAUAUGCCCUUCGGGGUAGAUCUCCCACCCUUUGUUUAUAUUACCUUUGUUGCUUUGGCAGGCCCGUCUUCGGGCCACCGGCUUCGGCUGGUCAGUGCUUGCCAGAGGACCCAAAACUCUUAUUAUUAAUGUCGUCUGAGUACUAUAUAAUAGUUAAAACUUUCAACAACGGAUCUCUUGGUUCUG